GUGUCAGCAGCCGCGGUAAUACGUAGGUGGCAAGCGUUGUCCGGAUUUACUGGGCGUAAAGGGAGUGUAGGUGGAUAUUUAAGUGGGAUGUGAAAUACCCGGGCUUAACCUGGGCGCUGCAUUCCAAACUGGAUAUCUAGAGUGCAGGAGAGGAAAGGAGAAUUCCUAGUGUAGCGGUGAAAUGCGUAGAGAUUAGGAAGAAUACCAGUGGCGAAGAGGCCUUUCUGGACUGUAACUGACACUGAGGCUCGAAAGCGUGGGGAGCAAACAGGAUUAGAUACCCUGGUAGUCCACGCUGUAAACGAUGAAUACUAGGUGUAGGGGUUGUCAUGACCUCUGUGCCGCCGCUAACGCAUUAAGUAUUCCGCCUGGGGAGUACGGUCGCAAGAUUAAAACUUAAAUGAAUUGACGG
RNAcentral lists this ribosomal RNA (412 nucleotides) under uncultured bacterium. RNAcentral describes it as "bacterial SSU rRNA". It matches the Rfam family "Bacterial small subunit ribosomal RNA", at positions 505 to 916 of the family's 1533-position model. The record is from RNAcentral.